GAUGAACGCUGGCGGCGUGCCUAAUACAUGCAAGUCGAGCGAACAGACGAGGAGCUUGCUCCUUUGACGUUAGCGGCGGACGGGUGAGCAACACGUGGAUAACCUACCUAUAAGACUGGGAUAACUUCGGGAAACCGGAGCUAAUACCGGAUAACAUGUUGAACCGCAUGGUUCAACAGUGAAAGACGGUCUUGCUGUCACUUAUAGAUGGAUCCGCGCCGCAUUAGCUAGUUGGUAAGGUAACGGCUUACCAAGGCAACGAUGCGUAGCCGACCUGAGAGGGAGAUCGGCCACACUGGAACUGAGACACGGUCCAGACUCCUACGGGAGGCAGCAGUAGGGAAUCUUCCGCAAUGGGCGAAAGCCUGACGGAGCAACGCCGCGUGAGUGAAGAAGGUCUUCGGAUCGUAAAACUCUGUUAUUAGGGAAGAACAAAUGUGUAAGUAACUAUGCACGUCUUGACGGUACCUAAUCAGAAAGCCACGGCUAACUACGUG
This 497-nucleotide ribosomal RNA is filed under the name uncultured bacterium. RNAcentral describes it as "partial 16S ribosomal RNA". It matches the Rfam family "Bacterial small subunit ribosomal RNA", at positions 28 to 507 of the family's 1533-position model. The record is from RNAcentral.